This 253-nucleotide ribosomal RNA is filed under the name uncultured bacterium. RNAcentral's name for it is "partial 16S ribosomal RNA". It matches the Rfam family "Bacterial small subunit ribosomal RNA", at positions 524 to 776 of the family's 1533-position model. The record is from RNAcentral.
UACGUAGGGGGCAAGCGUUGUCCGGAAUCAUUGGGCGUAAAGCGCGUGUAGGCGGCCACGUUAGUCCGUUCUGAAAGCCCGGGGCUCAACCCCGGGAGGCGGAUGGAUACUGCGUGGCUCGAGUCCGGAAGAGGCGAGUGGAAUUCCUGGUGUAGCGGUGAAAUGCGCAGAUAUCAGGAGGAACACCAAUGGCGAAGGCAGCUCGCUGGGACGUGACUGACGCUGAGUCGCGAAAGCGUGGGGAGCAAACAGG